CAUUACUGUGCGAUUUUACCACGAGUGAGCUGACAAAUUCAGCGUGUGUUGACUACUAACCUAAGUGAAAAUUUGAGGGCUUCAUGGGAAAAUCAGGGGGAUUCAGAAGUAAUUAAGCAUGAAUUAAACAUGAUGAGCUACAGGGCUAAUUCUAGGCCAUCGACAAUGCAUUAUGUAAAUCCAUUUUAGAAAUGUGACCAGUUCCUUUAGAACAUAUGUCCAAUGCCUAACAGAUGGUCUCCUAAGACCUCCAGCAUAUCUUUGGUGACUCAGGGCAGCCAAGGUAUGCUUGCUACUGUUGAAGGGCCAGUUACUGAGCCAAGAAGCAAGAAUGAGAUGGAAAAUCAACUGGAGCUUGUCAGAAUUCUACAUUUCCUUAGAGCCUGAGGAUAUGGCUUCUACAGCCAAUGCGAUCCAUAAAUGGAGGCUAUAGUACAUUUCAACUGAAGCUAACAAAGCAUAUAUUUCUUAAAAGUGGAGUGGAGGGCUCACGACUCAGGAAUCAGCCGCCACCACUUAAACCUGUCUUCAAAGGUGGAGAAUCUGACCUCAUCCACAGUCCAAGACCCAUCCAUCUUCCUGUAACAAGGAGCACAUCUGUCACCAGGCUUCUGGGUCACAUUUCCUGUCAACCAGGAAUCCCUCUAAGGAUGGAGGGAAAACUGGGAGCUUCCUUCUGCCCCCCCCGCCCCCCACUCGAAUCAUUUCCCCGUUUGAUCGUGUGGAGGGGCGGGGGAGAAACAGAAAAACAGGGAACAGGAAUUCGUUAUUCUUCGGUGGCAUUUCUAGCAAUGGGCUGA
Molecule: long non-coding RNA, 800 nt
Filed under: Monodelphis domestica (gray short-tailed opossum)
Lineage: Eukaryota; Metazoa; Chordata; Mammalia; Didelphimorphia; Didelphidae
Description: lncRNA (ENSMODG00000033714.2)
Source: RNAcentral